UGUUUCUGCUUCUAGUCUCUCGUUUCCUUCACUUUGCCGUUACUCUAUGAUUCUAGUUGAACUACAGCACCGAAAUUUCAGUUGAAGCAGUUCGAAAAUUAUCUUUAUAGGACUCUCUAGUCUCUACCCAACAACACUGAAACCCACAAACCCAGUGGGCAUGGGUUCUCUUAUAAAUGAAUCAGAGAGAGAGAGAGAUGACAAGGAGGAGGAAGAGCCCAUUAUAGUAUAGCAAACCCAGAGAUUCUGUAUGUUUCGCAUCAGGUACUAGCAACUUUAGGAGAUGUACAACAAGGCUGAGGCUAGUUUUGGACUGCUGAGGAGGUUGAUCUCUCCCAGGAUGUACAGCUGUGGGAGGCUCUGAUUGACUCCAAGAAACACUUUAUAAGUCAUGUCCUGGCAUUUCUGAGGCAAGGUGUGGCCAAGGUUGCUCGACCCAGUUCUGUACCUCCCGCUGCUCUGAAGGUUGGUGGUGGAAUGAUGAAACUUGGCCCAGUCAAAACAAAGAUGCCUUCAGAAUUGAGAGCUGCUUAGGAUGGGGUUGACAUAAUAAGCUUAUCAAUCACUCCCAAUAGAUGUCCUCCCGGAGUUGCAACAUUUUUCAACCCCAUAGAUAUGGCUUCACUAUCAGCCGUAAAGGUAGGUAUAUUUGUUGUCCAAGCAGCAGGAAAUACCGGACCAUCACCAAAAAGCAUGUCUUCCUUCAGUCCAUGGAUCUUCACUGUUGAUUCUGCUUCUCAUGACAGAACCUACAGCAACUCUAUAACCCUUGGCACAACGUCACCAUUCCUGGAAUUGGACUUACACCUGGUACACAGAAAGAUACAAUGUACACACUGAUUUCUGCAAUACAUGCUUUCACUGAUUUCUGCAAUACAUGCUUUGAAUAAUGACACAACAGUUGCAGAUGAUAUGUAUGUAAGUGAAUGCCAAGACUCGAGCAACUUCAAUCAAGAUCUGGUCUAGGGAAUCCUCUUGGUCUGCAGCUACUCAAUUCAGUUUGUGUUUGGAAUGUUCACAAUAAAGCAAAGCCUUACGAACAGCGCAAAAUUCAAAUGCUUGGUUUUGUUUUAUGGAUUCUUUUAUGAUUGAUUUUCAACCCACUCCAAUGAAAAUACCUGGCCUUUGUCACAGUAAUCAAGUUCUUUUAGUGCUUAAACCUCUCUAAUACAGUAAAGCACGCCAAUUUUGCCUUGGUUCAGCUGCUAGUAAAAUGCACAUCAGCGUCUGUCAAUCUGGCAAGAUUGAUGGGGAAAAGGAGGACGAACUUUUGUGCUUAAACAUUGAAUCUGUGCUUAAACCUAAAGCUUGUCUAAGUUGCGGGCUUAAACAUUGAAUUUGUGUAAGCUGUAUAUAAAAAGAUACAGAUUCUAGGUGUCAGCUUUAUUCUGUUAUUUGGUCAAGAUCUAUUUACAUUCACAACAGAUUCCACUUGUAAA
This is a long non-coding RNA of Rosa chinensis, 1439 nucleotides long. RefSeq lists it as uncharacterized. The record is from RefSeq and is a predicted model, not a curated record. NCBI's taxonomy places the organism in Eukaryota, Viridiplantae, Streptophyta, Magnoliopsida, Rosales, Rosaceae. The transcript is spliced from 4 exons.